ACGGAGGAUGCGAGCGUUAUCCGGAUUCAUUGGGUUUAAAGGGUGCGUAGGCGGACUAUUAAGUCAGUGGUGAAAUCCUGCAGCUUAACUGCAGAACUGCCAUUGAUACUGAUAGCCUUGAGUUUGGGUAGGGUAGGCGGAAUGUGUAGUGUAGCGGUGAAAUGCGUAGAUAUCGGGAAGAACACCGGUGGCGAAGGCGACUUACUGGGCGGACACUGACGCUGAGGCGCGAAAGCGUGGGGAGCAAACAG
This 251-nucleotide ribosomal RNA is filed under the name uncultured prokaryote. RNAcentral describes it as "partial 16S rRNA". It matches the Rfam family "Bacterial small subunit ribosomal RNA", at positions 525 to 775 of the family's 1533-position model. The record is from RNAcentral.